RNAcentral lists this long non-coding RNA (3236 nucleotides) under Sus scrofa (pig). RNAcentral's name for it is "lncRNA (ENSSSCG00030025186.1)". Lineage: Eukaryota; Metazoa; Chordata; Mammalia; Artiodactyla; Suidae. The record is from RNAcentral.
UUUUGGUUCUUUCUCUCCUCUCUCUUCUUGGUGAGUCUGGCCAGAGGUCUUGUUUACCCUUUCAAAGAACCAGAUCUUGGUUUUAUUGAUUUUUUUUCUAUUGUUUCUGGAUCUCUAAUUUUAUUGAUUUCCUCUCUGAUCUUUAUGAUUUCCUUCCUUCUGCUGACUUUAGGUUUUGUUUGUUCUUCUUUUUCUAAGUACUUUAAGUAGUUAAGUUAUGCUACUGAUUUGAGAUUUUUCUUCUUUUUUGAGGAAAGCCUGUAUUGUUAUGAACUUCCCUCUAAGAACUGCUUUUGCAGCAUCCCAUAGGUUUUGAAUGGUUGUGUUUUCAUUAUCAUUUGUCUUGAGGUUUUUCUGUGUGUGUGUGUUUGUCUUUUUAGGGCCACACCCAUGGCAUGUGGAGGUUCCCAGAAAUGGCAAAAAGAAAAAUAAAUAAAUAAAUAAAAUGAAUCUAGACAGAGUCCUCACAUCCUUUACAAAAAAUUAACUCAAAAUGGUUCAUAGAUCUAAUUGUACAAUGUGAAACUUUAAUAAGACUCCUAGAAAAUAAUAAAGAAGAAAACCUAAGUGACCUUGGAUAUGGUGAUGCCUUUUUAGAUACAAUACCAAAGACAUAAUCCAUGAAACAAAUAAGCUGGAGUUCUUUAAAAUUAAAAAAACUUCUGCUUUGAGAAAGACACUAUCCAGAUGAUUAGAAGAGAGGCCACAAACUAGGAGAAAAUUAAUAAAAAAUGGGCCAAAGACCUUAAAAGAUACCUCAUCAAAGAAGAUAAAUGGCAAAUAAACCUGUGAAAAAAAUGCCCCACAUCAUACAUCAUCAGGGAAAUGCAAAUUAAAACAAGGAAAUGUCACUACACCCCCAUAGAGUCCAAAAUCUAGAACACUAACACCACCAAAUGCUCGCUAGGAUAUGAAGCAACAGGAACUCUUAUUCACUGCUGGUGGGUACAGCGAUUCAAUGCAAAAUGAUAUAGACACUUUGGAAGACAGUUUGGAGCCAGCAACAGGACUCCUGGGGAUUUGCCAAAAACAGCUGAAAACUUACGCCCACACAAAAACCUGCACAUGAAUGAUCAGAAAAGUAUAAAUCAUAACUGCCAAAACUUAGAACCAACCAAGGUAUCUUUCAGAAGGUGAAUGGAUAAGUAAAUUGUAGCACAUUCAGACAAUGGAACAUCCAACAUUAAAAAGCAAUGAGCCACCAAGCCAUGGAAAGACAUGUAGGAAGCUUAUUAAGUGAAAGAAGUCAAUGUGAAAAGCCUACAUACUAUAUAAUUCUAGUAUGUAUACUUAGAAUACUAUACAAGCUACAGACAUUAUGGAGACAGUAAUGAUGGAUUUAUAUCGUUAUACAUUUCUCCAAACACACAGAAUACAUAAUAUCAAGAGUGAAAUCUAAGGUAAACUAUGUGAUGUGUCAUUAUAGGUUCAUCCUUAGUAAAAAUGUAGCAUUCUGGCUAGAGAUGUUGAUAACUGAGGCGGGAGGAGGAAGGGUUGCAUGUGUCAGAGCAGAGAGAAUAUGGGAAAUCUCUACACCUUCCUCUCAAUUUUACUGUAAACUUAAAACUGCUCUUUAAAAAAAGUCUUAAAAUUUUUAAAUUAUAAGAACACAGUAUGUAUUCUUAAUCUUAUAUCUAAUUCCUUAUAACUGCUUCAGCGGGUUACUUUGCUUCUCCUUCUUCCUUUUCAUUUAACCUUAGGAGCCAAUUAAACCCAAGUACCUGUUUUGUCUUUGUUAGCCAGCUGACCUACCCUUACAUUUAUCCUUGGUCUCAGCCCUACAGAUGUGGGAAAGAGCACCAAUGAGUCAAGCACACUGGGGUAUGGACCUGACUCUGCUUAUAACCGCACAACUUCAAGUUUCAGAUUCUUAAUCCCCUAAAUGAAGUUUACAGACUAAAUGAUCUCCCAGUUCUUCCUAGCCCCAACUUUUUACAAUUCUCAGUUAAUAACAGGUACAAUUAAAAUAAAUGUGAAAGGAUUCCAGAAAGAUGGUGAUGAAGGCUGCAGCCUUUGAAUGUCCCUAAAUUCCCCCAUAAAAAUAGACCAACUAGGAUAACUAAACCAAUAAUUCACAUAACAAAACCAGAUAAGAUGAAUUGCUAUGAACCUCAAAAUAUAAGUAAACAAGGAAAUACUACUAACAGUUACAAGAUAUGUACAAUCAAAGAUUGUAUAUCAACACAAACUGACCUUAAAGUAUACUGACACAUAGUUUUAAGAAUAUGCAAGAACCUAAGGAAUACAAUUCCCUUGAGCCUUCCCGGAACACACUAUACACUGGUACUAUCCAUAACAAGUCUCCGUAAUGAUGGAAAUGCUCUUUCCAUGCUCUUCAAUAUAGUAGCCACCAGCCACAUGUAACUAUCAGGCGCUUGAAAUAUGGCUUCAUGUAACUAAGGCACUGAAUUUUUUAUUUUAUUUUAAUUAAUUUACACAGCUAUGUUGUUAGUUUUUGACCCUGUAGCUAUAGAAUAAACAUUAAACAAUGAAAACAACUGGCAUACCAUAAAGACGGGCAAUAUUUUGGAAAACAGUUUGGCAGGGCUUUUUUUAAAGUUAGUUAUGGAAUUUUAAUAUUAACCAUCAAUUCCACUCCUAAGAAUCUGCACAGGAGAAAUGAAAACAUGUCUACACAAAAACUUAUAUAUAAAAGAUGACAGUAGCAUUAUUCGUUUUUUCUCCAGUUUUUUUCCACUUUUACCGAGAUAUAACUGGCAUAUAAUAUUAUAGUAAUUCAAGGUGUACAACAAAAUGAUUUGAUGUAUAUAUACACUGCUAAAUGAGUACCGCAAUAAGUUUAGUUAAUGUCAAUCACCUCACAGUUAUGAUCUUUUUUUCUUAUAAUGAGAACUUUGAAGACAUACUCUCAGGAGUUCCCAUCGUAGCUCAGUAGUUAACGAAUCCGACUAGGAACCAUGAGGUUGUAGGUUCGAUCCCUGGCCUUGCUCAGUGGAUUAAGGAUCCGGCGUUGCCAUGAGCUGUGGUGUAGGUCGCAGAUGCAGCUCGGAUCCCGCAUCCCGCAUUGCUGUGGCCGUGGUGGGCCGUGGUGGCUACAGCUCUGAUUAGACCCCUAGCCUGAGAACCUCCAUAUGCCGCAGGAGAGGUCCUAGAAAAGGCAAAAAGACAUACUCUCUUAGCAAUGUUCAAAUAUAAAUACAGUAUUGUUAACCACAGUCAGUAUGCUGCAUAUUACAUCCCCAGAACUUACCUUCUAAGUGAAACAUUUACAUUUU